GGGGACUUCCCCUCCCCCUCCUCCCGGCCAGCGACCAGCUGCCACAGGGCGCAUUUCCACCACAGCGGGGCGGGUGGGGUCGGAGGUGGAGUCGGCGGGAGACUGCCCCCCCUUCCCACCGCAGCGAUCACCAAAUCCCGGGGCCAAAGAAGCGAGCGGGUCUUCCCGGAGCCGGGUUGCUUGGAAAUGUAGCCCAAAGCGGGUGGUAAACUUUACUUCCCUUUGCUAAGUGAGAUUAGGAAAGCAAUGUUUUCUUUCCCUCCCGUAAUCAGCUUGAGUACAAAUGGAGAUGCCUACUGGGGAUUUAACAACUUUGACAUCUCGCUUUGACUUUUCUCAAAGCCCUGUCCUCAUUAUUAAAUUGGUGUUAAUUGGCUUUGGGGGAUAGGAACCAAAUUUUCAGUCACAAAUUUUGACACCCCCGAGGGGACUUUUAAGGAGUCCCCACUCUGCUUUCUUGGGGAAGCCUAGCACUCAAAACAACUGCAAACAGAGGAUCAGCUUUUUGGGAGCUGACUACUGAAAAGUUAGGAGAUGUAAAAAAUGCCUAGUGCCUGGGGUCAAACCAAACCAGAGGAACUAAUCUUGGAAGUGAAAGGUGGGGCUGAGAGACUCCCAGCAGCUGCCAGAGCCAUUUUGCUCUGGGGAACUCCCUCAUUCCUUACCUGCACUUUAAGGAUUACUCCACCUCUGUUUACUUAACAAAAGGGACAAUGACUGCAGUAAUGUGUUGAUAUUAUAGAUUGUUUCUUGGGGAUGAUCUUGGCUAAAUGCGUAUCUAAAAGAUGAUUUUUUUAUUGUAACAAUUUGGUAUCGAAUGGGUUUCUAAAGCAUUGCACUAUCUUACAGUUAAAAGUUGGGUUUAAGCAAUUGUUUAGCUUGAUUUCAGAUAGUUCAUGCUAGAAAACUUAAAUAUUUAGGAUAAAAAAAUAUUAGAAAGUUUCAGUUUUGAACUGGGUAGCCUGAAAAGAUUUCACUAGGUGUACCAGUGCAUUAACUAGGAUAAGAAUAAUAAAUUCUGAUAUGGUAUCUGUUCCCCUCAGUGUGUAAGAUUCAGGGAAAAAAAGUGUUAAAUUAAAAUGUUGGCCUAGUUUAUUAAAAUGACCCUAAUUAGCAACAGUUUUGAAAAUUUCGGAUACACAUGGUAGUGUGUGGUUCUUUUUAAAAUUUUUCAGGUAAUUUAAUGUAACUUAAUACUACUUUAGGAACUUCAGAACAAAGGAAGCAGCUUAAUGAUCCUGAGGAAAUUUCCUCUGAUGGUGGCUUUUAUAUUAUCAGAAAAAAGAUCCUAUUUUCAGUUUUGUGUGAGCUAGUUUUUCUAAUGUAAAGAGAUAUAAAGAUAUAAAAUUUUGAGAAUUGCAUCUUAAACCUGGAAAUUAUGACUUAUAGCUAAAAUGCCUUAGGCAUGAGGUUUCUGCUCAGAAUUCCAGUUUUCCCAGUUCCUUCCAGACCUCAGCCAGGACUUAAGUUGAUAUGCAAAUAAAAGAAGCCUGUAGCACUCAGCAGAAGACAGAUCUCAGGCCCAAGGAAAAAAAAAAGAAUAAAAGUGUCUUUUUACCUGAACUCAAACUAGACCCCAACCAAAGUGUAAAUUAUAUGAUAUUUACUAAUUACUGGCCAGUCAUCUUUUUUAGGACUCUUGCUUUUUCUUAGAUUCUGUAUUUUUUUGAGCUAAUGAUUUUGAUCCUGCAGACGGGUUAAUAUUUUCUGAUCAGUUCUAUUUUUGAUCAACUGUGGAGUUUUUAAACAUUGCAAUGGAGAUUUCACCUGAAAAAGCUACAAGGGUGUUACACUUGUGUUAUGUGUUGUAUGUCGGUAUGUCUGUAUGUGUGUAUGUCCAUAUAUCCUGCAGUGAUGACAAUUGACAGAUGAGGAGCACUCAUAAAAAAAGUUUAAAAAUAGGUCCAAAUAUCUUUGAUUCACGUGAUUCAAAUGGUUCAAUUUAAAUUGGGUAAACAGAUAAAAGUAAAGAUGUCUUUAAAAUUAAGCUUAUAAGUUUUUCUAGGUGUUCAAAAAAGGCCCUAAUAAAAUGUUGAUGUCUAUGAAAUAAUCUGCCUAAAUUCAGAAAUUUACAAGUAUUGUUUCAAAAUGUGAACAGAAGGAGGUUAACAGAUGAAAAAGAGAAACUAAAAGGUUCUAGAUAUGGAUUUAAUAGAGGGAAAAUGUGUUUCUAGAUAAGAGAGUCUAUGUGAUUAAGUAAUUAAGAGGGUUUAAGUGAUAAAGAAGGUCUGUGUAAGUUGGUUAUAUGUGUAAGUUUGAGCAAGUAAUCUUAAAGAAAUUAAAAAUUAUACAACUAUGGUUAAACAACAACUGUUAUUUUUCAAUAUUGUAAUGUUGUUUCUUUAAAAGCUAACCUUGGUUAAUAAAAAUCAUCAAUGUAAUUAUGGUGCUAUUAAUAUAUGUUCAUAUCUUCCAGGUAUACAAGUCUGUAAGGUAGAAGCUUCAAAAGAGCAUUAUAUCAAGCUGGUGUUCUAAAGUUGUAUGGUAAUUUUAGGCUUAAAAGAAAAACAUGUUGGAGAUUUAUUUAUAUCAUUUGUGUUCUACAACUGGACUUAUUAUCAAUAAGAUAUGUACAGUUCCAUGUUACUUUUUACACUGAGAUACAAUUUAAAUGUAUUUUUAAGUUAAUGAGAGCCUAAUCUGUGUGACGGUUUUAUUGUAAAACACCAAAGUACUUUGCUACUUUUCUAUAAAAGGUUAAAAACUUUCAGCCUUACUUUAAUUCAUGUUUUAGAUGUGAUAUUAUGUUGUGUUAGCUAAUAUCCAUGUAAACUUGAGCAACAAUUUAUAUAGGCUUUGUAAAAUGAUGUCUAAAAAAAGCAAAGAUCAGCUUCAGAACUAUAAUAUUUAAGAUUUAUAAAGAGCCCCGCCUUACUUGAGAUAAGGCUCUAUGUCCAACCUCAUGUGAAAGAGAUUAUAAAAGAAGUAAGCCAGAUUUCAGUACAUUUAAAGUUGUGUCCAAAAGUAGGUUUUUGCCAAGAUUACUAGGAUCUCAAACUGGGAAUUAUGAUGUAUAACCCUGCCAGAAUUCAAGGUAGCUAUUAUAUAAGCUAAAUAUGUUUUUACCCUAGUUAGUUUUGUUUUGUAGUUUGCUUAUAGAUGGUUUAAGGAUUGCCUGUUAAUGUUUUAAAGAGGUACUGCUUUAAGAACACAACCUGGGUCAACUUAAGAUAAGGAGUUAUCACCUACAGGAUAGAGAGAUAGACGUUAAAGCCCAGUGCUCUUAAUAUAAGGCUGUUAACUUAUUUGCUGGAUGUUUAAGAUUAAGUUUUAAAAUUAAAAAUUUGGCUCUUGCCCUCUGAGUCAGUCUGAAUCAGGGAAUAGGGGACUUCUCCAAAGGGCUCUGCAACUCUAGGCCACAUAACCUCCUGAGCAGGGAGAUUAAUGAGACCAGUGGAGGACAGAAGGCCAAUCAGUGCAUUUGCUGUGAAGAGGAGGGUCAUCAGAAAGGGGAGACAUCCCUGAUGCUUCCAAGGGAAGCCACAUGGUCAAGCAAGGCCUGGACCCAUCCUAACGUAAAUGGCACUAGCAGAACUGAGAAGCUGCUGUGAAGUUCCCCGAGGACUCCCAGGGAAACUCAGCUGACUGUUAACAAUAGAUAAGAACAAAAGUCAGUUUGACUUGCUUCAUCUUAAACACUUAGCAAAGACAGUCAAAGCCAAAGCACAGCUGUUCCUGGGCAUUUUAAAUGAUAAUAAUAAUUAAAUGUAACUUCCAAAAAUAAGUAAACUGGAGGCUACAAAAGAGGUUCUCAGACAGAAAUGCCUGAUAACUAUUAAAAAGAACUGCCAGAGUAGUUUUUAGUUUAAGGCCCACAGAUAUUCCUAACCUACACAGGUAGGCUUGGUGUUUGCUAGUAUGGUUAUCCAGCCCUAAGUAACAAAAUUAAAGGUUUCUCUAUUAGACACAGAGGUCAUACUAGUAAAAAGGAUUUUACAAGAUCAGAUGGCAUUAAAUUAUUAGACUAUAUCUUAAAGGAAAGAACAUCUGUAAACCUAAAUGUUAAUUGUUGUGUUUACAUCCCUAACAUUUCUGGCAAUGUGACAAAUAUCCUUAAAGAUUUACAUGCUCAGAUAGAAGCCAUGUCCUCAGCAACUUUGUCAUGGAAACAAUAUCUUAGCUCCUGGUUCUUGGUACUUCCUGGUGGAAAACAUUGUUAGUCUUUGUCUUGGCCAUUGUACUCAUUGGCAUAUUCCUGUGCUGUGACAUUUAUUGCUGCAUCAAUAUGGUUCCAGUACUAAUGAAUUCUUGUUUCUCUUAUAGACCACCCAUCACUCAAAUGGCCCUCCAGCCUAUUACUUCUCAAUUGGACUUUUAUCAUGGACCACUCGAUAGACCCAAUAUUUUUUAAGGGGGACUCCAAACUGCUUGCCCCACACCAUCCCUUUUCAGCCUGAAGAAGCCAGAAAGAUCCUCUUCGCCCCCCUUCCUUACAGCAGUAAGGAGUUCCCAAAUUAGAGGGGGGGGGGAAUGAAGCCAGAUUUAAAGUUAGGUAGUCAGUGUAGUUAGAUAAAUCGGGGUCUAAUACCAAGUAAAAUCUAAAAUGGAGGCCAUGCAGAAAAUGAUUCCAGGGAACACAAAACAACUCAUGAAAUAUAAAACCCUUCAAUAAUUGUGAUUCAUUACUUUUAAGAUUAAAAGUAGUCAGAAAAAUGAGUGGGGAAUGUAAGGGUAAAAGAAAUUGAAGUUAAAGUGUAAAAGACCGGGCAUUGUAAAGUUUCUAAGCUGCAAGGCCUGAGUUAAAAUGUAAAGGACUAGGUAUUGUUAAGUUCCUAUGCUACAUGCAAAACCUGAAAUUCCUGUAGCUGUUAAGACAAUACUCAAACUGCCCAGUAAAUAUUUCCCCUGACCGCCUGGUUGUUUAAUAACUUAAGGGCUCUGUGUGGUCUUGCAUGUAGGCAUCGCAGGGCCUAAACCAAUCAGUUUGAAUGUGUACCCAGCUUUAGAACUGACCUAUCACCCCCGCCCGACCUGUUCCCGCCAAUGUAUGUACUAAUCAAGUCUAAGAAUUGUUGUUUGACUUUCCCGCGGUGUAUGAUGAUUUGUUAAAGGAGACUGUGAUGUAUGUAAAGUCCCACCCUCCCCAAAAAGUGUACUUAAACAUUGCACAACCCCUGCUCUGGGCUCUGGGCUGCUCUCUUUUCUCGAGUGGGCACAGAACCCCAGCAUGCUGGAAUCUCAAUAAACCCCUUUUGUUGUUGCAUGAGUCACAGUCCCUUGGUGGUCUCUUCCUCCGAUGUUCGCCGGACCCUUACACUCUCAGCA
RNAcentral lists this long non-coding RNA (5265 nucleotides) under Marmota monax (woodchuck). The record is from RNAcentral. Lineage: Eukaryota; Metazoa; Chordata; Mammalia; Rodentia; Sciuridae.